AUUCCUAUAGGAUCCUAUAGGAAUUCCUAUAGGAUCCUAUAGGAAUUCCUAUAGGAAUUCCUAUAGGAUCCUAUAGGAAUU
Non-coding RNA from Paramuricea clavata, 81 nucleotides. NCBI's taxonomy places the organism in Eukaryota, Metazoa, Cnidaria, Anthozoa, Malacalcyonacea, Plexauridae. The record is from the annotation of a GenBank genome assembly.